Molecule: ribosomal RNA, 405 nt
Filed under: Triticum aestivum (bread wheat)
Lineage: Eukaryota; Viridiplantae; Streptophyta; Magnoliopsida; Poales; Poaceae
Description: partial small subunit ribosomal RNA
Source: RNAcentral
AUGCGUGGGACCUUGUUUCUCAUCCUCCCGGUGUUCGUCCAAUCACUUGUAAGUGGGUCUACAAGGUUAAGACUCGCUCCGAUGGUUCUCUUGAGUGCUACAAAGCUCGUCUUGUGGCUCGCGGCUUUUAGCAGGAGCAUGGUCGUGAUUACAAUGAGACUUUUGCUCCUGUGCCCAUAUGACAACUAUUCGCACAUUUCUUGUUGUGGCCUCUAUUCGUCACUGGUCUGUCUCAACUUGAUGUUAAGAAUGCCUUUCUUAAUGGUGAGCUGCGUGAGGGGGUUUACAUGCAGGCCACACAUGGGUAUUAUGUUCCUGAUGGCAUGGUCUGCCAUCUUUGUCGCUCUCUCUAUGGCCUUAAGCAAGCCCCUCACGCCUGGUUUGAGCGUUUUUCCUCUGUGGUGA